GCUGAACGCUUUCUUCUUUCCUAAUACAUGCAAGUCGAGCGAACAGACGAGGAGCUUGCUCCUCUGACGUUAGCGGCGGACGGGUGUGUAACACGUGGAUAACCUACCUAUAAUACUGGGAUAACUUCGGGAAACCGGAGCUAAUACCGGAUAAUAUAUUGAACCGCAUGGUUCAAUAGUGAAAGACGGUUUUGCUGUCACUUAUAGAUGGAUCCGCGCCGCAUUAGCUCGUUGGUAAGGUAACGGCUUACCAAGGCAACGAUGCGUAGCCGACCCGAGGGGGGGAUAGGCCACACUGGAACUGAGACACGGUCCAGGCUCCUACGGGAGGCAGCAGUAGGGAAUCUUCGGCAAUGGGCGAAAGCCUGACGGAGCAACGCCGCGUGAGUGAUGAAGGUCUUCGGAUCGUAAAACUCUGAUAUUAGGGAAGAACAAAUGUGUAAGUAAAUAUGCACGUCUUGACGGUACCUAAUCAGAAAGCCAAGGCUAACUACGGG
RNAcentral lists this ribosomal RNA (497 nucleotides) under uncultured bacterium. Its description in RNAcentral is "partial 16S ribosomal RNA". It matches the Rfam family "Bacterial small subunit ribosomal RNA", at positions 28 to 507 of the family's 1533-position model. The record is from RNAcentral.